RNAcentral lists this ribosomal RNA (440 nucleotides) under uncultured bacterium. Its description in RNAcentral is "partial 16S ribosomal RNA". It matches the Rfam family "Bacterial small subunit ribosomal RNA", at positions 338 to 795 of the family's 1533-position model. The record is from RNAcentral.
CCUACGGGAGGCAGCAGUGGGGAAUAUUGCACAAUGGGGGAAACCCUGAUGCAGCGACGCCGCGUGAGUGAAGAAGUAAUUCGUUAUGUAAAACUCUAUCAGCAGGGAAGAAAAUGACGGUACCUGAGUAAGAAGCCCCGGCUAACUACGUGCCAGCAGCCGCGGUCAUACGUAGGGGGCAAGCGUUAUGCGGAUUUACUGGGUGUAAAGGGAGCGUAGACGGCAGUGCAAGUCUGGAGUGAAAGGCGGGGGCUCAACCCCCGGACUGCUCUGGAAACUGGACGGCUGGAGUGCAGGAGAGGUAAGUGGAAUUCCAAGUGUAGCGGUGAAAUGCGUAGAUAUUAGGAGGAACACCAGUGGCGAAGGCGGCUUACUGGACUGUAACUGACGUUGAGGCUCGAAAGCGUGGGGAGCAAACAGGAUUAGAUACCCUGGUAGUC